AAAAACCGUCAGAAACAAAGAACGAAGCAUAUAAUGGGUUCUAGAACUUUUUCCCAAAUAAGCUUUCAACAGAGAGAUCCAGAAACUGGUAUAGAACCAACCGAUCUAUCCCUUUGGAUGAUUACUCAUUGUAAAAAUGAUGAAUGGUCGGAAGAGGCUUCACGUGGCAUUUAUGAGAACGCAGCUGAGAAAAUUGCUGAGAAAAUAUAUCAAAC
Molecule: long non-coding RNA, 215 nt
Organism: Zea mays
Lineage: Eukaryota; Viridiplantae; Streptophyta; Magnoliopsida; Poales; Poaceae
Exons: 3
Source: RefSeq, a predicted model, not a curated record